Molecule: transfer RNA, 71 nt
Filed under: Marmota monax (woodchuck)
Lineage: Eukaryota; Metazoa; Chordata; Mammalia; Rodentia; Sciuridae
Description: tRNA.Ile
Source: RNAcentral
GGGGUUGUAGCUCUGUGGUAGAGCACUCACCUAAUGUGUGCGAGGCCCUGGGUUCAACCCUCACUACUGCG